GACCUCGGAUCAGGUAGGAAUACCCGGUGAGGGGAAGCAUAUCAAAAGCCGGGAGGAA
This 58-nucleotide ribosomal RNA is filed under the name Sillia italica. RNAcentral's name for it is "partial 28S ribosomal RNA". Lineage: Eukaryota; Fungi; Ascomycota; Sordariomycetes; Diaporthales; Sydowiellaceae. The record is from RNAcentral.